CGGAUCGGAGUCUGNAACCCGACUCCGUGAAGCUGGAUUCGCUAGUAAUCGCGCAUCAGCCAUGGCGCGGUGAAUACGUUCCCGGGCCUUGUACACACCGCCCGUCAAGCCAUGGAAGCCGGGGGCGCUUGAAGUGCGUUGCCGCAAGGCGCGCCCUAGAGCGAAACCGGUGACUGGGGCUAAGUCGUAACAAGGUAGC
RNAcentral lists this ribosomal RNA (199 nucleotides) under uncultured bacterium. Its description in RNAcentral is "partial 16S ribosomal RNA". It matches the Rfam family "Bacterial small subunit ribosomal RNA", at positions 1294 to 1500 of the family's 1533-position model. The record is from RNAcentral.